GUGGAUUUUCCUUCCUGGAAGGCCAAGACUGGGAAUGUCCUGCUGGUGCCUCAGGGCCUGGCUGAACAGGGCUUGUCAGAGAUGCUGCCAGGGCACCGACAGCCCUGCUCCUCACAGGGCACCUCUGUCACCCCGUCAGCUCCGAGGGGCUGCCUGGGGACAGGUGCCCACUCCCCCAUGGCCCCUGGCACGGGCCCAUCCUGCCCAGGGCCAGCGCUGGCCUUGGCUCAGGGCCAGGGCCAUGGCCCAGGUGCUCUGGGAGGGCUCAGGGGCUGCAGGUGUGACAGGAUCAGGGGCAGGGCAGGGCACGUUCCCCUCUGGACACUGCUCUGGGGAUGGAGCUGGGACGGGUCUGGCACCUGCAGGGAAAGGGAUCUGGGGCUGUGCGGAUGUGGGAAUUGUCACCGCUGAGCCAUGGCCCAGGCCUCAGCCUUGGCUGCAGGUGAUCAGCAUGGCCCAGGGCUCCCAGUGUCCCCGGGACGGGAGAUGCCGAUGCCCCAGCUGAUGACAUGUCCCUGGUUCCCCUUGUUCCCCACAUGUUGGGUUUGGGGCCGGGCUCCGCUCUGGGCUGUCCCACAGGGAAAGCUCUGGGAGGGAAGGGGCAGCAGGAGAUGGGGGAUCUGGCUCUGGGGGCUGUGGGAGGAUGGAUUGUGUUGCACUGGGGGCUGUCCCCACAGGGUCCCCAGGUGCCUUUGGCUCCCUGCCUGCCCCCCUGCCCCCCCAGGUGCCUGGGCCCCUCCAGGGGCAGCUGCCCCGGGCAGGAAACUGGAGGGAUGCCGGGCAAGGGGGCUGGACCCGUGCCACAGCUGGGCUGGGGUGGAAUCUGGGCCAGGGCUGGGCUUGUGGCCAGGGCUGGGGGCUGUGCCAAGCCGGGCUUUGGCCUGGGGGCUGGCAGGGAGGGUGCAGGGAGGAGUCCCGGCAGGGAUAAAGGUGCUCCUCACCUGCUGCAGCCUCACCCAGCGCUGCCCGGAGCCAGAGGAAGAUGAAGGUGGCUGUGCUCAGCGUGGCCCUGCUCUUCUCCAUCCUGCUGUGCCCCCCGGCUCAGGCCCAGGCACCCCCGGAAGAAACCCAAGAUGAUCUCGUGAAGGUGAGUGGGGUGCUGGCAUUGGAGGGCAUCCCCUCAGGGGGCUGGGGGGCAGUUCAGCUCCCCCAUCCCUUGCUGGCACCUGGGACAUCCUCGUGACCAGUGAGGUCUCCUGGUCUCUCUGCAGGUGGAUUUAGGCGAUGGGGACGUGGAUGCGGACGUGCCUCUGGUGGGUACCACGAGUUCUGCUGGGCUCAGACCCUCCCCUUGCAUGGCCACCAGAGCCCAGGCCAUCCCAGUUUGUCCCAGCCCAUCCCAGUGCCCCCAGUGUGUCUCUAACACUGCCCUUGUCCCCAGGAAAAUCUGGAUGAAAGGGUGAAGGAACUUCUGCGGCUGAAGCGCGCCGUGGCUGCCUCUCUGAGGGUCUAGGUGAG
This 1458-nucleotide long non-coding RNA is filed under the name Lonchura striata (white-rumped munia). Its description in RNAcentral is "domestica (Bengalese finch) lncRNA (ENSLSDG00000011784.1)". The record is from RNAcentral. Lineage: Eukaryota; Metazoa; Chordata; Aves; Passeriformes; Estrildidae.